GAUGAACGCUGGCGGCGUGCCUAAUACAUGCAAGUCGAGCGAACAGACGAGGAGCUUGCUCCUCUGACGUUAGCGGCGGACGGGUGAGUAACACGUGGAUAACCUACCUAUAAGACUGGGAUAACUUCGGGAAACCGGAGCUAAUACCGGAUAAUAUAUUGAACCGCAUGGUUCAAUAGUGAAAGACGGUUUUGCUGUCACUUAUAGAUGGAUCCGCGCCGCAUUAGCUAGUUGGUAAGGUAACGGCUUACCAAGGCAACGAUGCGUAGCCGACCUGAGAGGGGGAUCGGCCACACUGGAACUGAGACACGGUCCAGACCCCUACGGGAGGCAGCAGUAGGGAAUCUUCCGCAAUGGGCGAAAGCCUGACGGAGCAACGCCGCGUGGGUGAUGAAGGUCUUCGGAUCGUAAAACUCUGUUAUUAGGGAAGAACAAAUGUGUAAGUAACUAUGCACGUCUUGACGGUACCUAAUCAGAAAGCCACGGCUAACUACGU
Molecule: ribosomal RNA, 496 nt
Filed under: uncultured bacterium
Lineage: Bacteria
Description: partial 16S ribosomal RNA
Rfam family: Bacterial small subunit ribosomal RNA
Source: RNAcentral